Rhea pennata is the source of this 680-nucleotide long non-coding RNA. RefSeq lists it as uncharacterized. The transcript has 2 exons. The record is from RefSeq and is a predicted model, not a curated record. Lineage: Eukaryota; Metazoa; Chordata; Aves; Rheiformes; Rheidae.
CCGGAGCGGUGGAGCCCAGGUUUCCUCCUGCCCCGGAGAGGAGCCAUUUGGUGAGGGCAACCGGGAAGGCCCUGCCCCUCCCCCCGCCCAGCCGCCAUGCUCGGCGCGGCCUCCCCGCCCGGCCGCGGGGGAAGGCGAGGGGCAGGGCAAAGGCCGCAGGAAACGGCGCCCCUCAGAAAGGGAGGAAUCCAUCUGUGAGACAGCAAAGCAGAACAGAAGCUUUUCAAAAUAAGAAGAGAAGCUGAAGCCUCUGAUGUAUGUGUCAAGCCUGUCAGCGACGAGAAAGACAUAUCAGAAGGCAGCACUGUCACUGUCAAAGUGGGAAGCAGGCUAAGUAAGAUGCUGGCAUGUGACAUGCUUGUCACUGCAAGUGCCAUAAACUGAGCAAUGCAUAUGAGCUAGACAUAUUUUAUCAUUGGGCAGUAUACAUUUUACUGUUAUAGACAUACUUUGGGUAAUAGAAAAAAUAUUGAACAUAUAUAGAACAUCUAGACAGAUUAUAUUAUCUUUGUCUUUUGAACUUCAGAUGCAAAAGCUGUGAGCAUGCAAAUAUAUAUGCUUUUGGUGGGCUUUCUAUCACCUAUUUUCAGCCAUUUAAAAUUGAUAUGUUGUUAUAAAUCAAAUGUAAAUCGAAUGUAAAUCAAAUGUGUAAAUCAAAGAAUUAAAAGCAUAUUGCUACA